GGCUGGUCAGAAGGUAGUGUUAUCUCAAUUGAUUUUUCAUAGUCACAAAUCAAACUCCUUAUUCUGCUCUUCCUCUCCUCUCACUACUGCACUUGACGACUCUGAC
This 106-nucleotide Y RNA is filed under the name Carlito syrichta (Philippine tarsier). RNAcentral's name for it is "Y RNA (ENSTSYG00000020967.2)". It matches the Rfam family "Y RNA". From Rfam's summary of the family: Y RNAs are components of the Ro ribonucleoprotein particle (Ro RNP), in association with Ro60 and La proteins. The record is from RNAcentral. Lineage: Eukaryota; Metazoa; Chordata; Mammalia; Primates; Tarsiidae.